UUUAAUUAUCAUAUAUAAAAGUGUAAUACAAGAUAUAAAUUAAUUUUAGUUGGGGCAACUGGGAGGGAUAAAAAUCUUUUAUUAAAUCAUUUAUAAUAAUAUUUAUAUUUAUGAUCCAAAUUAGUUAAUUUUGAACUUAGAAU
This 143-nucleotide ribosomal RNA is filed under the name Ledella ultima. Its description in RNAcentral is "partial small subunit ribosomal RNA". The record is from RNAcentral. Lineage: Eukaryota; Metazoa; Mollusca; Bivalvia; Nuculanida sp.; Nuculanidae.